CAGAGCAUAGCAAAAAAUAAAGCAUCUCCCUUACUCUGAGAAGACGCCCAUGAAACCUGGGCUGCCCUGA
RNAcentral lists this transfer RNA (70 nucleotides) under Trachonurus sulcatus (bristly grenadier). RNAcentral describes it as "tRNA-Val". Lineage: Eukaryota; Metazoa; Chordata; Actinopteri; Gadiformes; Macrouridae. The record is from RNAcentral.